UAGGGAUCUCGCAAUGGACGAAAGUCUGACGGAGCAACGCGCGUGAGUGAUGAAGGUUUUCGGAUCGUAAAGCUCUGUUGUUAGGGAAGAACAAGUGCCGUUCGAAUAGGGCGGCACUUUGACGGUACUAACCAGAAAGCCACGGCUAACUACGUGCCAGCAGCCGCGGUAAUACGUAGGUGGCAAGCGUUGUCCGGAAUUAUUGGGCGUAAAGGGCUCGCAGGCGGUUUCUUAAGUCUGAUGUGAAAGCCCCCGGCUCAACCGGGGAGGGUCAUUGGAAACUGGGGAACUUGAGUGCAGAAGAGGAGAGUGGAAUUCCACGUGUAGCGGUGAAAUGCGUAGAGAUGUGGAGGAACACCAGUGGCGAAGGCGACUCUCUGGUCUGUAACUGACGCUGAGGAGCGAAAGCGUGGGGAGCGAACAGGAUUAGAUACCCUGGUAGUCCACGCCGUAAACGAUGAGUGCUAAGUGUUAGGGGGUUUCCGCCCCUUAGUGCUGCAGCUAACGCAUUAAGCACUCCGCCUGGGGAGUACGGUCGCAAGACUGAAACUCAAAGGAAUUGACGGGGGCCCGCACAAGCGGUGGAGCAUGUGGUUUAAUUCGAAGCAACGCGAAGAACCUUACCAGGUCUUGACAUCCUCUGACAAUCCUAGAGAUAGGACGUCCCCUUCGGGGGCAGAGUGACAGGUGGUGCAUGGUUGUCGUCAGCUCGUGUCGUGAGAUGUUGGGUUAAGUCCCGCAACGAGCGCAACCCUUGAUCUUAGUUGCCAGCAUUCAGUUGGGCACUCUAAGGUGACUGCCGGUGACAAACCGGAGGAAGGUGGGGAUGACGUCAAAUCAUCAUGCCCCUUAUGACCUGGGCUACACACGUGCUACAAUGGACAGAACAAAGGGCAGCGAAACCGCGAGGUUAAGCCAAUCCCACAAAUCUGUUCUCAGUUCGGAUCGCAGUCUGCAACUCGACUGCGUGAAGCUGGAAUCGCUAGUAAUCGCGGAUCAGCAUGCCGCGGUGAAUA
This 1016-nucleotide ribosomal RNA is filed under the name Bacillus subtilis. Its description in RNAcentral is "bacterial SSU rRNA". It matches the Rfam family "Bacterial small subunit ribosomal RNA", at positions 355 to 1368 of the family's 1533-position model. The record is from RNAcentral. Lineage: Bacteria; Bacillati; Bacillota; Bacilli; Caryophanales; Bacillaceae.